RNAcentral lists this ribosomal RNA (270 nucleotides) under uncultured prokaryote. RNAcentral's name for it is "partial 16S ribosomal RNA". It matches the Rfam family "Bacterial small subunit ribosomal RNA", at positions 524 to 792 of the family's 1533-position model. The record is from RNAcentral.
UACGUAGGGUGCGAGCGUUGUCCGGAUUUAUUGGGCGUAAAGAGCUCGUAGGUGGUUUGUCGCGUCGUCUGUGAAAUUCCGGGGCUUAACUCCGGGCGUGCAGGCGAUACGGGCAAUACUUGAGUGCUGUAGGGGAGACUGGAAUUCCUGGUGUAGCGGUUGAAUGCGCAGAUAUCAGGAGGAACACCGGUGGCGAAGGCGGGUCUCUGGGCAGUAACUGACGCUGAGGAGCGAAAGCAUGGGUAGCGAACAGGAUUAGAUACCCGGGUA